CUCUUCCUUUGUUUUUCUUGGUUCUCUAUCUCUUGCAAGUCAUCCACCAUGGCUUUAAGUGGAGAUUUCUCCAUUGUUGAACUGGCUGGCUCAUUAAGUGGAGGACCGUAGUUGGUAAAUUGUGCAGCACUAUAUAAACCAAUUCCAGGUGUUGGCAUGAAAAGGAAACUGGAUGAUUGUUCUGGUGGUUGCAUUUCAGAUGGAGGCAUCCCCGAUUGCCUCCUAGGCACGAGUUUUACCUGUAAUAGUGUCAUGACAUCGUAUAUUUAGUGAAAAUUUUAUUUGGCCAGAUUCAUUUAUAACAUGGCAUAGCAAUAGAUGUAAUUACCCUUAAUCUUUCACUCCCCACUUCCCUUAAGCUUCUUUCAUAUGUAUGAUCUACAACCCCACAAGACAAAUCCUAUCACGAGAAUAUAAACUAAUGCACAUUAGAUCAGAUCCCAUGCUAAAAAUUAGAAAACAC
RNAcentral lists this long non-coding RNA (463 nucleotides) under Olea europaea (common olive). RNAcentral's name for it is "long non-coding RNA (OEUR_LNC003987)". Lineage: Eukaryota; Viridiplantae; Streptophyta; Magnoliopsida; Lamiales; Oleaceae. The record is from RNAcentral.